Molecule: ribosomal RNA, 507 nt
Filed under: uncultured organism
Description: SSU rRNA
Rfam family: Eukaryotic small subunit ribosomal RNA
Source: RNAcentral
AGCAGCCGCGGUAAUUCCAGCUCCAAUAGCGUAUAUUAAAGUUGUUGCAGUUAAAAAGCCCGUAGUUGAAUUUCGGGGUCAGCAAGUUGGUCGUGCCACCGGUAUGCACUGGCUUUGCUGAUUCCUCCUUCUUGUAGAACCGUAAUGCCAUUAAGUUGGUGUUGCGGGGAAACAGGACUGUUACUUUGAAAAAAUUAGAGUGUUUAAAGCAGGCUAAGGCUUGAAUACAUUAGCAUGGAAUAAUGAAAUAGGACGACGAUCCUAUUUUGUUGGUUUCUAGGAUUGACGUAAUGAUUAAUAGGGAUAGUUGGGGGCAUUAGUAUUCAAUUGUCAGAGGUGAAAUUCUUGGAUUUAUUGAAGACUGACUACUGCGAAAGCAUUUGCCAAGGAUGUUUUCAUUAAUCAAGAACGAAAGUUAGGGGAUCGAAGACGAUCAGAUACCGUCGUAGUCUUAACCAUAAACUAUGCCGACUAGGGAUCGGAUGAUGUUAAUUUUAUAAUGACUCA